GGCUGAUUUGCUAUCCAAUGAAAAAAUUUACCAAAUGCCAGGUAAAACACUCUCAACGGAUGAAUGAUCCUCCCCUCAGACCUUGGGUAGCAAUAGCGAAAGAUGGUCAGAUCUUGUGCUGCCACUG
Molecule: long non-coding RNA, 127 nt
Organism: Syngnathus acus (greater pipefish)
Lineage: Eukaryota; Metazoa; Chordata; Actinopteri; Syngnathiformes; Syngnathidae
Exons: 3
Source: RefSeq, a predicted model, not a curated record